This 31-nucleotide non-coding RNA is filed under the name Homo sapiens (human). Lineage: Eukaryota; Metazoa; Chordata; Mammalia; Primates; Hominidae. The record is from RNAcentral.
UCCAGACUGGGUAGCCAGGCAGAGGGGCUCC